AGCGAACGCUGGCGGCAGGCCUAACACAUGCAAGUCGAACGAACCUUUCGGGGUUAUUGGCGGACGGGUGAGUAACACGUGGGAACGUGCCUUUAGGUUCGGAAUAACUCAGGGAAACUUGUGCUAAUACCGAAUGUGCCCUUCGGGGGAAAGAUUUAUCGCCUUUAGAGCGGCCCGCGUCUGAUUAGCUAGUUGGUUGAGGUAAUGGCUCACCAAGGCGACGAUCAGUAGCUGGUCGGAGAGGAUGAUCAGCCACAUUGGGACUGAGACACGGCCCAAACUCCUACGGGAGGCAGCAGUGGGGAAUCUUGCGCAAUGGGCGAAAGCCUGACGCAGCCAUGCCGCGUGAAUGAUGAAGGUCUUAGGAUUGUAAAAUUCUUUCACCGGGGACGAUAAUGACGGUACCCGGAGAAGAAGCCCCGGCUAACUUCGUG
Molecule: ribosomal RNA, 434 nt
Filed under: uncultured bacterium
Lineage: Bacteria
Description: partial 16S ribosomal RNA
Rfam family: Bacterial small subunit ribosomal RNA
Source: RNAcentral